AGGGAUAUUAUCGAGUUAUUCAACUCCCAAACCCUAUGUGAACUUACCACUUGUUGCUUCGGCGCGCGCUUCGGCGCCGCCGAGGACACUUAAACUCUUUGUUUUUAUAAGCAUUUCUGAGUGGCCGAAAGGCAAAAAUACAAAUGAAUCAAAACUUUCAACAACGGAUCUCUUGGGUUCUGGCAUCGAUGAAGAACGCAGCGAAAUGCGAUAAGUAAUGUGAAUUGCAGAAUUCAGUGAAUCAUCGAAUCUUUGAACGCACAUUGCGCCCGCCAGCAUUCUGGCGGGCAUGCCUGUUCGAGCGUCAUUUCAACCCUCGAGCCCGACUCUUUUGAGGACGGCUCGGCGUUGGGGGACGGCAGACUCCCCCCGGCAUCUCGCCGGGGACGCCGCCCCCGAAAUCUAGUGGCGGCCCUCCGAGGCGACCUCUGCGUAGUAACUUGUUCUCGCACCGGAAAGCUCAGAGCGGCCACGCCGUAAAACCCCAACUUUUUUCAGGUUGACCUCGAAUCAGGGUAGGACUACCCGCUGAACUUAAGCAUAUC
This 545-nucleotide ribosomal RNA is filed under the name Leptobacillium leptobactrum. Its description in RNAcentral is "eukaryotic LSU rRNA". The stretch from base 153 to 307 matches the Rfam family "5.8S ribosomal RNA". Lineage: Eukaryota; Fungi; Ascomycota; Sordariomycetes; Hypocreales; Cordycipitaceae. The record is from RNAcentral.